RNAcentral lists this ribosomal RNA (253 nucleotides) under uncultured bacterium. RNAcentral describes it as "partial 16S ribosomal RNA". It matches the Rfam family "Bacterial small subunit ribosomal RNA", at positions 524 to 776 of the family's 1533-position model. The record is from RNAcentral.
UCCGGGGGGAGCGAGCGUUAUUCGGAUUCACUGGGCGUAAAGGGUUCGUAGGCGGUCAAGUAAGUCAGGGGUGAAAUCUAACGGCUUAACCGUUAAACUGCCCUUGAAACCGCUUGACUUGAGGACAUGAGAGGAAAGCGGAAUUCUUGGUGUAGCGGUGAAAUGCGUGGAUAUCAAGAGGUACACCGGUGGCGAAGGCGGCUUUCUGGCAUGUUACUGACGCUGAGGAACGAAAGUCAGGGGAGAGAACGGG